This 468-nucleotide ribosomal RNA is filed under the name uncultured bacterium. Its description in RNAcentral is "partial 16S ribosomal RNA". It matches the Rfam family "Bacterial small subunit ribosomal RNA", at positions 28 to 507 of the family's 1533-position model. The record is from RNAcentral.
GACGAACGCUGGCGGCGUGCUUAACACAUGCAAGUCGAACGGCAAGGCCCUGCUUUUGUGGGGUGCUCGAGUGGCGAACGGGUGAGUAACACGUGAGUAACCUGCCCUUGUCUUUGGGAUAACUUCAGGAAACUGGGGCUAAUACCGGAUAGGAGCUCCUGCUGCAUGGUGGGGGUUGGAUAGUUUCGGCGGUUGGGGAUGGACUCGCGGCUUAUCAGCUUGUUGGUGGGGUAGUGGCUUACCAAGGAUUUGAAGGGUAGCCGGCCUGAGAGGGGGACCGGCGACAAUGGGACUGAGAGACGGCCCAGAGGGCUACGGGAGGCAGCAGGGGGGAAUAUUGCACAAUGGGCGGAAGCCUGAUGCAGCAGCGCCGCGGGCGGGAUGACGGCCUUCGGGUUGAAAACCGCUUUCGCCUGUGACGAAGCGUGAGUGACGGUAAUGGGUAAAGAAGCACCGGCUAACUACGUG